GACGACAUUGCGAUUCAUGAAGUACGAGCAACGGCCAGCGGCUAGCAACUAGCUGAGCACUCGCUUCACCGCUUUCGAACAUGACGGUACUGCGUGCUUUUUGAAAAAUUCGAUCUUGUUUGCCGUUGAAAUUGUUCGUUUGUCUAAAAUGUACGCCGCUUAUUGAUCAUGUUAUCGCCGGUCGAUACAGAAUCCGAUUAAAAAAUAUGGACACCAUCAUGGCUGUAUUGAGGUCCACAUGUACUCUAAAUAACAUUGCAAUCGUGUUUAAAGAAUCAACAACAAAUUUGGAUACAGAAGAAAACUUAGAUUUUAAAUUAUUGAUUUAUAAUGCUAACCACAGAAUAGAUUAAAUGUGCUAACAACAUAAAUGGGUUUGACGAGCAAUAAUAUGAAGAUGAUGUAAACGGGGUUACUCAAAGAGCUCAGAUGAUCAACAAUUAUUUUGGGCGAUUAUAAAUUAGAAUUUAUUGGAAACUUUGUGCACUCCAUUUUGACAAAGAUUAUUUCAAAGCUGAAACUUAACUGAACAUUUUAAAACCAAAUUUAGUUCCCACAAAGUUUGAAAAAUGAUGAAAAGAAUCUUUUGAAUCAACAUAUGUCCUUGAGUAAAAUGCCCGAGUUACUGACAUACCAAAUUUGCGAGCAGCCUGCUUCAACAUAAAACAGUGAAAUGGACACUUUUCAAAUGAAUGGUUGUUAAAAAAACCUAUAAUGGAAUGGAUUAACCUAUUAUAAAACUUAAAGAUACUCCUAACCGAAAGCCGCGGAAAUAUUUUUUAGGCGAUAGAACUAUUCCAGAUUUUGCCUCUGAGAAAAGCUCAGUAUCAAAGUAUUCAAUGAUGAAGAAAAUUAAAUAUUUAAAUUUAAAAGUAAGCAGACUCCGCAAAAAGACUUUCAUCUAUGGCAGAUUAAAUUAACCAAAUGAAGAAAAAAAAUCUCCUAACUGAACAAUUUAAAUAAUACCAUUUUGGUAGAUUUCAAUGGAAAUAUGAAUGGUAGCGACUAGCGAGUUGGAAGUGUAAGUUACUAAAUAAUGUUUAAGGGGCCAGUAUUAAUUUGUUAAAUCCUCUGUGAUUGUUUAUAAAUGUUAUGAUAAAUAACUAUUUGUUGAUCAGUGUAUCAAUAUAUUUUAAAACAUAAUAUAAUUUUUUAUUUUUAAAAUCUUGUUGUGAUGUGUUUAAUUAUGUAUAAUUGUGUUAUAAUGUGUGUUAGCUUUGAUAAUUUAGUCUACAAAUAUGUCUUACUAAUAUAAUACUAAAUUAAUUUGUAAUUAAUAUAAAUACAUUAAUACCUAUUUAUAUAAGUACCUAUUUUAUAAAGUACAGGAUUAAGUAUACUAAAAAUGGUUAAAAUUAAUAUUUUAACAGACUAUAGACAGCAACACUAUAUUUGGAAUAUAAAGUGCUAACUUCUGCUCUAAUAGAAUUAAAUGUAUGUUUUUGAUGUCAAAAAAUAAAAAUAAUAAUUCAGCAACUAACGCUAUUGUUUUCCCACAUUUGUAUACAACAUUUAUGUACAAGCUUAGAUUAGAUUUUUUUU
Long non-coding RNA from Myzus persicae (green peach aphid), 1542 nucleotides. RefSeq lists it as uncharacterized. Lineage: Eukaryota; Metazoa; Arthropoda; Insecta; Hemiptera; Aphididae. The record is from RefSeq and is a predicted model, not a curated record. The transcript has 5 exons.